RNAcentral lists this ribosomal RNA (775 nucleotides) under uncultured Neocallimastigales. RNAcentral's name for it is "partial large subunit ribosomal RNA". It matches the Rfam family "Eukaryotic large subunit ribosomal RNA", at positions 18 to 644 of the family's 3401-position model. Lineage: Eukaryota; Fungi; Neocallimastigomycota; Neocallimastigomycetes; Neocallimastigales. The record is from RNAcentral.
CAGACGAUGCGUCAUGCAUAUCAAUAAGCGGAGGAAAAGAAACUAACAAGGAUUCCCCUAGUAACGGCGAGUGAAGCGGGAAGAGCUCAAAUUUGAAAUCUUAAAGGGUUUCCCUUUACGAAUUGUAGUUUAAAGAAGUGUUUUCUGUUGAGGUUUUGGUAAAAGUUCUUUGGAAUAGGACAUCAUAGAGGGUGAGAAUCCCGUAUUUGACCUUUACUUUCAACUUUGUGAUACACUUUCAAAGAGUCGGAUUGUUUGGGAAUGCAGUCCAAAAUGGAUGGUAAAUUUCAUCUAAAGCUAAAUAUUGGCGAGAGACCGAUAGCGAACAAGUACCGUGAGGGAAAGAUGAAAAGAACUUUGAAAGGAGAGUUAAACAGUACGUGAAAUUGUCAAAAGGGAAGCGUUUGACACCAGUGUUGUUUUUCUGAAAAUCAAUUAAAGAACUGUUUAGUGCUAAGUUGUUUAGACUUUAUCAGCUUAACUGUUUAGUUUUGAGCUUUUCUUUAAUGCACUUUUCAGUUAACAAGUCAACAUCAAUUUCUUUUGCUGUAAAAAAGCUUGAGGAAGGUGGCUUGAGAUUCGUCUUAAGUGUUUAUAGCCUCUUGCCUAUGCAGUCGGAGAGAUUGAGGUCUGCAGCGUAGAUCCUUCGGGGCUAAAUGCAUUUGUGCUAAGUUAUAGCAUUUUAUAGACAACUUGUUGACUAUGAUUUGUCUUGUAGCUUACUCGCUUAUGUUAUUUUACCUACGCUUAGGAUGUUGAAUCUGUGCGAGACUAC